CGUGGCAGCUGCAAUGCACUCUCUCCUCCCCUCUCUUCCUGCAGACGAUGCGCCAGCUCAACGGAACGAGUGUUUCGGCUCAUCGCUUCACCAGUCACCACCCCGACAGAGACCGCCACCGUUGUCAAGCAUGUUGGGUGCACCGAGUCCGGCAGCAGGCGAAUUCAGACGCCGUCUUGCACAGCUUCGGGGGUGAAGGGCGGACUAGGCAGCAGAGGCACUAACGGGCCGAAGAUCCUGGCAGCCCUCUCCGCGCCGAGGAGCAGCACCAUCCGCGAGAACCCUCAAAGAGCUCUGAAGGCAGGGCUGCCUGUCGAGUGGCUGAUAGAGGGACAAGACAAUGAGGUGCUCACAGGGGUGGAAGCUUGCCACGCGGGAAGACGACACCCCACGGAGCUGCCUUUUCCUCUGCCAGAGUGCACGCCAAUGCAGCUGUGUUGCGCGUGCAGACGACCGGCGAUGCUCACGGAGGACCUGACCGGAGCGGGGCUGUACCGCCAAGUCAGCACUGCGGAGAGAAGCGACUGCUGCAUUCCCCUGCACACGCGACAUCGCUGGCCAGCCGGUAUCCCCGCAUGGGGUCGACUCGCCGCAAGGCACGGCAGCGUACUUUUGGCUUCGCCUCCGUCCGUCAUCGUGGGGGCCAGACGUACGCAAGACCUUCUCGAGGAUUGCGGCACAGCGGCUUCUGACCUUCGUCAGGUGCAUGGCGCAACAACGCCUCGGCGCUGACUGCGAGGGCUUCUCAUGUUGAUCUAUGUGUUCGCAGACGCAUCAGAUGAAGCGGUACGACGGCCCCCAAGACCGCACCCAUGCCGCUUGCGCCCCGGUCUUCCACAGGGGCACAGCGAAAGGCGGCCUGGGGAGGCGAGGCUUCCGUGCACGGCUACGUGGACUUCCGUAACUGCAAAACCGAACAGACGCCUCCACAAAGGGCCGGGGGCCGUGUCCUCCCCUUUCCUUAUCAUGUGCGGCCGGUUUGACACCGAGGAGAACGUCCCGCUGGAGUAAUCCGAGGCAACUCAUGGCUGAGCGUCGCGAGGAGGACCUGAAAAGCGUCGACCAAUCGUGUCCCGCUACGCAACGAUGCACAGCGCGCUGACACCCCCGUGCCGCUGUGUGCUGAUCGGGGGCAACCCAUGAACACCGAGGAAUCGCCGGAAUGGUCAGCAGUGCACGGCAGGAUGGCACCGGUUGAUGGGCAGCGAGAUUCCAAAUCGGGCGCCACACGUGCCCGGUGGGUCUGACCUACAGAGGAGGGUCAGGGCCAACCACCUCGUGAGGCCCGUAGCCGGUGGCAUCCCGCCUCAGCAGGCAGGACGGUUUGACGCUGGCGGCACCGACCGAGCCAGCGGACGAGCAAGCAGACCUCGUGCAAGGACCUCGCAGCGGCCAAGAAUAAGACGAGGCGGGCGGGGCGUGCUCAAGGACGUCGACCCGGACCUGAAGCUGGCCCCAGUACGCAAAGCAGUGGCCCACCAUCUGGCGCAGAUCGGGAAGGGGGUCCUAAAGGAGGACAUGAUGCAACCAGCCAGACAUGCAACGAUCGAAACGGUGCGGCGACACCUGGGCUACUCCCAGCAACCUACGUUGGAGGCCGUUUGAGUGCAGCACAACGCCUCAGUCUUCCUCUCCAAGACCCAACGGGGUAGGCCGCACGCCGCCAAACGUUCAUGAAUUCUCGGCAUUGCCGCUAGCGAGUCGCCCGAGGGAAUUUGGGUGCUCCAGGGGGCCUGGCCGCGGGCCAGGGCGCGGCCACCCCCUCCGGCUCGCCUUAAGGGUAUGGCGUGGUUGGGUGCCGGGGCUGGCGUAUGCCCGGCGGCGGCGGUGGGGUGAUGGCUGAGGUGGGGGGGCUCGUUUGUCCCGGCCCCCCCCCGCGCCCUUUAGGGGGCCGGGGGCGUGCAGGCAGCUUUCGGCAGCGGGGC
This 1925-nucleotide unclassified non-coding RNA is filed under the name Leishmania donovani. Its description in RNAcentral is "gene:unknown". The record is from RNAcentral. Lineage: Eukaryota; Euglenozoa; Kinetoplastea; Trypanosomatida; Trypanosomatidae.